This 771-nucleotide ribosomal RNA is filed under the name Sitophilus oryzae (rice weevil). RNAcentral describes it as "LSU rRNA". It matches the Rfam family "Eukaryotic large subunit ribosomal RNA", at positions 73 to 632 of the family's 3401-position model. Lineage: Eukaryota; Metazoa; Arthropoda; Insecta; Coleoptera; Curculionidae. The record is from RNAcentral.
GAUUCCCCUAGUAGCUGCGAGCGAACAGGGAAGAGCCCAGCACUGAAUCCCGCGUUUAACGUUAGGCGCCGGGAGAUGUGGUGUUCGGGAGGGUCUGUUAUCUCGAGAUCCGGCGACGCGUCCAAGUCCUUCUUGAACGGGGCCACAGCCCAUAGAGGGUGCCAGGCCCGUAGUGACCGUUUCCGAUCUCGAGAGGACCUCUCCUUAGAGUCGGGUUGCUUGAGAGUGCAGCCCUAAGUGGGUGGUAAACUCCAUCUAAGGCUAAAUAUGACCACGAGACCGAUAGCGAACAAGUACCGUGAGGGAAAGUUGAAAAGCACUUUGAAGAGAGAGUUCAAGAGUACGUGAAACCGUUUAGGGGUAAACCUGAGAAACCCGAAAGGUCGAAGGGAGAAAUUCAUUCGCGUUUCGUCAUCGGCGUUCGGCGAUCGAGUGACGGGGGACGUUCGCGUUCUCCGCGCCUUUCGUUGUCCGAUCCGGAGACGAACGCGUGCACUUUUCUCCUGGUAGGACGUCGCGAUCCGUCGAGUGUCGGUCUAAGGCUCGCGGUGGAGCCCGUAGAUGUCGUCUCACGACGAUAUUUGCGGACCCGCGUGUUCCCGGCCGACUCGCUCGACGGUAUACGAAAGGUUUAAGGCCGCUCCUUAGAGCGUUCGACUCGCAGCAAGCGCGUCAGAUGUCGUCGGUGAUCGGACCUAGUGCCGGUCCCGACCUCUGGCGACUGUUGGCCGCGAAGUUCUCGAACAGACCUUAUCAAAACCGAUCUGCGAC